UUAUUUUUUAUCAUAAUAUUAAUACUACAAUCUAAAGUAUAUUAUUUUGUAUGUAUGAAUUAAUCGAUACCUCAAUCAUGAAAUAUUUCAAUAUUUUAUUUAAAAAAAGUAAAUUAUAUUUAGAAAAUAUUUUUAUAUUUUCUGUAUAAAUGAUUUUUUAAAAGCUAUGAAACCGAAUGGGUCUCAGUUUCUGCUCCUCGAGAUUCCGAUGAUGGCAUUGUGCGUAUAUCGCCGGCAUCGCACGCUUGCCAUGCAUAGCGCCGCGUUUGGACGACUGAGCUCGUCGUUGGACGCAUCGAGCCGCUUCGAGGUCGCGGAAGAAGGCUGAUUACUCGACUUCGGGAGAUCGCGCAUCCCAUCGCAAUGGCGACGAUCGCAAGGCUGCCGCGGGUGGGAGUUGGUUCAGCUCGAUGUCGCUGAAGGGGAGGGAGUGUUGUACGAAUCGGUUCUGUCACCUCCCUCACGGUUCCAUCCAUCACCAGUGUGCUAGCGACGAACUGUGCUGGCGAUGGGCAUGCGGCGGCUAGGGCUUCUUCCGUAGGAUGAAGAUGAGACUCUUAGCCAAAUUACAGUAUAGUCUCUUCACUUUUAAAAAGUUUCAAAAUAGUCCUUUUAGGCAGAAAAUAAAUUUUAAAAAUUAUUUGCAGUCUAUCAAUUAAAUGACUAUUUAAUUUAAGAUAUGUUUUAUUAAUUUGAGUCAUUUAAAUAUUUUAACAGUAGUUAAC
RNAcentral lists this long non-coding RNA (725 nucleotides) under Manihot esculenta (cassava). RNAcentral's name for it is "long non-coding RNA (MESC_LNC001534)". The record is from RNAcentral. Lineage: Eukaryota; Viridiplantae; Streptophyta; Magnoliopsida; Malpighiales; Euphorbiaceae.